CCAGUCCCAACCAUUCAUAGAAGCCUUUUCACUUAAAAGUCAAAUUCAAUUUUUGUGUUUGAGACAGUUCGCUUCUUGUCCAACCAUUCAUACAAGCCUCCAAUUAAGAGAUUAAUGACUAUGCUACCUUCGCACGGUUAAAAUACCGCGGCCCUUUAGUUUGAUCCCAGUGGGCAGGUUAGACUUUAUAAACCAUCAUAUAGACAUGUUUUUGAUAAACAGGCAGAAGCUUUAUUUGCCGAGUUCCUUAA
Homarus americanus (American lobster) is the source of this 251-nucleotide long non-coding RNA. RefSeq lists it as uncharacterized. The transcript has 3 exons. The record is from RefSeq and is a predicted model, not a curated record. Lineage: Eukaryota; Metazoa; Arthropoda; Malacostraca; Decapoda; Nephropidae.